RNAcentral lists this ribosomal RNA (484 nucleotides) under uncultured bacterium. RNAcentral's name for it is "partial 16S ribosomal RNA". It matches the Rfam family "Bacterial small subunit ribosomal RNA", at positions 28 to 523 of the family's 1533-position model. The record is from RNAcentral.
GACGAACGCUGGCGGCGUACUUAACACAUGCAAGUCGAACGAUGAAGCCGGAGCUUGCUCUGGUGAAUUAGUGGCGAACGGGUGAGUAACACGUGAGUAACCUGCCCUUGACUCUGGGAUAACUGCGGGAAACUGUAGCUAAUACCGGGUACGACCCUCGGAGGCAUCUCCUGGGGGUGGAAAGAAUUUCGGUCAAGGAUGGACUCGCGGCCUAUCAGCUAGUUGGUGAGGUAAAGGCUCACCAAGGCGACGACGGGUAGCCGGCCUGAGAGGGUGACCGGCCACACUGGGACUGAGACACGGCCCAGACUCCUACGGGAGGCAGCAGUGGGGAAUAUUGCACAAUGGGCGCAAGCCUGAUGCAGCAACGCCGCGUGAGGGAUGACGGCCUUCGGGUUGUAAACCUCUUUUAGCAGGGAAGAAGCGAAAGUGACGGUACCUGCAGAAAAAGCACCGGCUAACUACGUGCCAGCAGCCGCCGUAA